AUGGGCCUACGGUACGAGAUGAUGGGGCGUCAAACAUUCAAACAAGGGCAUGGAACUCACGAGUAAGAGUCGGUAAACGAUUGGUACCUGAACACGAUUCUUUCGCCAAAAGGGAAGUAUGGGGGCCCCGUCCAAAUAUACUCGGGACAGCGAAGAGGGACUGGGAUUUUUUGCUGAGCCCAGAAGGCA
This is a long non-coding RNA of Strongylocentrotus purpuratus (purple sea urchin), 189 nucleotides long. RefSeq lists it as uncharacterized. The record is from RefSeq and is a predicted model, not a curated record. The transcript is spliced from 3 exons. Lineage: Eukaryota; Metazoa; Echinodermata; Echinoidea; Camarodonta; Strongylocentrotidae.